Long non-coding RNA from Maniola jurtina (meadow brown), 3322 nucleotides. RefSeq lists it as uncharacterized. The transcript has 2 exons. NCBI's taxonomy places the organism in Eukaryota, Metazoa, Arthropoda, Insecta, Lepidoptera, Nymphalidae. The record is from RefSeq and is a predicted model, not a curated record.
AAAAAUACUAAAUCAAUAAAACUAGAAGAUAAAGCAAAUGGUUAUUGGCAUUGGAUUAUGUUUAGGUAGUAUAAUAAUAGUAACGCUAGGUUGUUGCUAGCAUUCUGGUUAGGCUUUGUAUAUCCAGCUGUGGAGUGUAGACGACGAUAUGGGCCAACGACUACGCUCAAUAACUGCAACAAAGCCUUUUCGCGGCGCGUCUGUCAACGCAAAAACUACGAAUAAUAAUAUAAUAUUACAUCUCAGUGUGAACAGUUCCAUUUCAAAGUAGGGUGAGCGAUAUUUAUAUAUUAUAUUAUAUUAUAUUCCGUAGUUUGAAAUCGACUUAAGCGUUGUCACACUAAUGCGGUUGAGCUACUGAUUUGAAAUCACUGUUUUGGCAAACUGCGAGAAAACUUUGUCACACUGAUUGAGUUUAGAUGGCUGAUGACGUCUUUACGCUCUUUGGCAUGCCAACACUCCUCGUGUCGUUUGUGUUGUGCCACGGUUACAGUUUUCAACAUGAAACGUUACACUAAGCCCUCGAAACCUUUCUAACGUAAAAGAUUUUAUUCUAUUGUUCUAAUAUUUUUUUUUACCUUAUGUAGAUCAUCACAAAAACAAUUACUGUUAAGUAAUAAGAAUUCGUUGAAAAUUGUUUUCAUGAACCAUGUUCACGGAGGUACGUGAUGUAAUUUGUAUACUGUCAAUCCAGUAAUUUUUUUUUGUAUAAAAUAAUAACAAGCAAAAUCUACAAAAUAACACAAUAAAGCGUGGGUGUACGCUCUUAACAUAUUUAAAGUCACUGGCUAAGGGCCCAUGCAAACAAAUCUAAUUUAGACGUAAGUACUAAUUUUCGUUCUAGUAGCUUUCCAAUGUUAUUUGAUCAUGAUUUGCUAGUUAUUCUAAGCAACUUAUAUAAAUUAAAAGAAUUUGCAACGAAUUAUGCAAAUCCUGCUGAUAUAAUAUGCUAGGAAAUUUUUCAAUCACCAAAUAAGCUGAACUGCAAUGGCAAACCAUAGGCAUAUUACGUUCAUGUUUACAUGGCGUAUAUAAUCCGUGCUCGGUGAUGAAUAAGACAAAAGAUAAAAACACAUGACUGUAAAAGAGAUAGCGUUCUACAAAUGUGAACCAAAUAUCCUAGUUUUGUCGUCACUUUAGAUAGGUAACUUCUUUUUAACAUAAAUAUAGGUACUGACGAAUAAAAGGCGAUUUCAAACACAAAACUGUCAAAAUGUGAAGUUUUCCUCAGUCAGUAAUGUUAGCGAUUGAAAAAAUCUGUGAAAAUCUCUUGAAAAGUUAUUUAACGUACGUCCAAAUUCGAUAUGUGUGCAAGAGGCUUAAGAUUUAAAUAUUAUACUUUUUAUGCGGGAUGUAACCGUUAAGCUCAUGGGUCCUAAAUUACAAGCCUAAAAUUAAACUAACUAUACCUAUACCCACACAAGGGUUGAAUGGACAGAGUAAUAAAUCAAAAAGAUUGAUGGUGUACCUCAACAUCUCGGCCUAGAUCUCGGGGGAUAACUUUGGACAUAUCAUUUUACACGAAUAGCGAGAUUUAUUAAAAAGUAGGCCGUCAUCUGUGGACGUUGUUUAACAUUUUUAUGCACGAAAUUAAAAAUAUACCUUUUAUAAUGUAGAUGAUAAUUACUUAAGGAUAACGGUGAUUUUAUCAUAAUUUAUUUUUUAUUGCGCGUUGUUUAAUUUCGAUCUUGAAAAAUAUGUCUUUGAUAUUAUGUACUUUUAUAUAUUUUAUAAUGAAAAAUCAUGCAAUCGUACUGAUUCUAAUGACAACUAAAUUUUAAAGUAUUCCUAUCUUUUUCGUACCAAUGCUGAGAAAAGGACAAACUUAUUUUAAUUUAAAACUGUCAAACCUUGCAUCUUUAGGUGCACACUCAUGAGAAUAGUGUUUAGUAGAAAAGCGCUAAAAUUUUAAUUUUUUAAUUUGAAAUUAAUUUUCCGUUCCUUUUUAGCAACAUUAAAAUACGAAUUAAUGUAGAAUACUAAAAAAAAUUGUUCAGAGAAAUACUCAGAAUCGACGCCAAUAUAUGAUUAAUGCUGAAAUAUGUUAGAUAUGAUAGAUACAAUCAUAUUAAACUUAAACGAUAUACUUUUGUAGUCUCAUAUGUAUUACUUUUAUGCCUGUAUUCAUCUUGGGGAGUUCAGAAUAAGAAAAGAAUAUUUUUAUAAGAUGAUUUUAACUUAAUAAUUACUAUAUUUUUUUUACUUUUGUUAUUACAGCGUUUACAAAGACAAUUAUUUCUCGAGAUAAUCGUUUAUUUUAUUUGUAAUAGAAUUUUUAUACGCCAUUUUUACAAGUAGUGAGAAGAAUUACGUAGAAUGGCGAAAUGUAUGGUUAAUUAUGGAUAUCUUUAUGUACGAUUAUAUUAUGUAAGUAUGAAUAUAGAUAUAUGAUUAUUACGUUAUUUAUUAGGUAUAUUAGUAACACAUAGUUAACUUUAGACAGAUGAGUUAAGAUGAUGAAUUAUACCUUACAAUUCGUUGAUAUGCAUAAUUAUAAGACACCUUGUAAUAUUUAACGUUACCAUACAAAAUUCUUUAAAAUACGACAUAAGUUUAGAUGUAUGGGCUAGUAAGAAAUUUACAUAUUUACACUUAUUUAGGCCUAGUACACAUUGAUAUUCUGUAAAAAAUUUCAAAUCCGUGUGUCAAAAUAAACUACUAACCUUCAAAAUUUAAACUCCGAAUAUAAUAUGAAAAAUAGCUUUGCAAAAUAAAGUAAUUCUGCCUAGAUAUAUAUAAAUAGUUUAUAUACGUGAGUGAGUGCUUAAAUUCAGCUACAUGUAAUAGUGAAUUUUAAAGCUGGAUAAUACUUAUUAACGACUAUUCAAGGUUAUUUCAACUAUAAACCAAAGUAUAUUUGUCUCAUUUAUUUAUUUAAACGAUCUACAUAUUUAGAACUGGACGCUUUACAAAAUCACAUGUAGGUAUAUAAAUAAACAAACAUUUGUUUACACAAAAAAAUUAAAGUACGUCGUUAACAUAAAAAUUGUAAAAAAGUCUUAGCGCUAACAAUGUAAAAAACACAAAUAGAAAUUACAAAAUGGGCGGGAAUCGACCUCUACCAUGAUACCUAUUCACUUCAGCGACUACAUAUCAAAUGUCAUUCUUCUUAUAAUAACUGCAAGCGAGCUUUCAGAGAGAGAAGCCAAAGUGACUAGCAUUCGAGUACACAUGGUAGGUUUUACGCAAAACUUAAAAUUACAAACUGAACAUAAUGGCACUUAAUUUAUAAAACAUAAUCUACUACAAAAAAAAACUUUAGUUACAACUGUCAUAAAUGCUGCCAAUCAUAAUACUUAACUAGAGAAACUUACCUGCAUAU